GAUGAACGCUGGCGGCGUGCCUAAUACAUGCAAGUCGAGCGAACAGACGAGGAGCUUGCUCCUCUGACGUUAGCGGCGGACGGGUGAGUAACACGUGGAUAACCUACCUAUAAGACUGGGAUAACUUCGGGAAACCGGAGCUAAUACCGGAUAAUAUAUUGAACCGCAUGGUUCAAUAGUGAAAGACGGUUUUGCUGUCACUUAUAGAUGGAACCGCGCCGCAUUAGCUAGUUGGUAAGGUAACGGCUUACCAAGGCAACGAUGCGUAGCCGACCUGAGAGGGUGAUCGGCCACACGGGAACGGAGACACGGUCAAGACUCCUACGGGAGGCAGCAGUAGGGAAUCUUCCGCAAUGGGCGAAAGCCUGACGGAGCAACGCCGCGUGAGUGAUGAAGGUCUUCGGAUCGUAAAACUCUGUUAUUAGGGAAGAACAAAUGUGUAAGUAACUAUGCACGUCUUGACGGUACCUAAUCAGAAAGCAACGGCUAACUACGUG
This 497-nucleotide ribosomal RNA is filed under the name uncultured bacterium. Its description in RNAcentral is "partial 16S ribosomal RNA". It matches the Rfam family "Bacterial small subunit ribosomal RNA", at positions 28 to 507 of the family's 1533-position model. The record is from RNAcentral.